GAUGAACGCUGGCGGCGUGCCUAAUACAUGCAAGUCGAGCGAACAGAUGAGGAGCUUGCUCCUCUGACGUUAGCGGCGGACGGGUGAGUAACACGUGGAUAACCUACCUAUAAGACUGGGAUAACUUCGGGAAACCGGAGCUAAUACCGGAUAAUAUAUUUAACCGCAUGGUUCAAUAGUGAAAGACGGUUUUGCUGUCACUUAUAGAUGUAUCCGCGCCGCAUUAGCUAGUUGGUAAGGUAACGGCUUACCAAGGCAACGAUGCGUAGCCGACCUGAGAGGGUGAUCGGCCACACUGGAACUGAGACACGGUCCAGACUCCUACGGGAGGCAGCAGUAGGGAAUCUUCCGCAAUGGGCGAAAGCCUGACGGAGCAACGCCGCGUGAGUGAUGAAGGUCUUCGGAUCGUAAAACUCUGUUAUUAGGGAAGAACAAAUGUGUAAGUAACUAUGCAUGUCUUGACGGUACCUAAUCAGAAAGCCACGGCUAACUACGUG
Molecule: ribosomal RNA, 497 nt
Filed under: uncultured bacterium
Lineage: Bacteria
Description: partial 16S ribosomal RNA
Rfam family: Bacterial small subunit ribosomal RNA
Source: RNAcentral